Taeniopygia guttata (zebra finch) is the source of this 2083-nucleotide long non-coding RNA. NCBI's taxonomy places the organism in Eukaryota, Metazoa, Chordata, Aves, Passeriformes, Estrildidae. The record is from Ensembl.
GCAAUUGGAAUGGCAAUUGGAAUGGCACUGGACAGGUGAGAAAAUGUUAGGCAUUCCUUUAUAACCAGAGCUACUGCCCAAAGCCAACCCUGAUGCCCUUCUUGCCUGGCAUCUCAUCUUGUCGGAGGUUCCUGCCUGAAGGUGGGGUUGCUUUAAAAGAUGACUGAGUGAGCAGAGGUUUCCAUCAGAGACCUUGAAUGUGGAUUUACUCUGGUCAUUGCUCUAGCUUGCAUAAAUGUCUAAAGGCAGCAGGUGACAGCUGUCAGAUGCAGCAAUGAUUCACUGAAUCCAUGAAAAGGAUUCUUAUAUCCUCUUCCAAAUGCCACAGCUUUUUUGUUUGUUUGUUUGUUUUUUAUUUUAAAUAUCUCUCCCUUGCUUGAACAUACACCUCUACUGCUAUCCGUCCCUAGAUCAGAGCGCUGAAUAUUUUUUGCAGGGAUUUUUUGUAAAUCCAUGGUGUGAGAUGUAGCUACUUGCACGGUCUGAAAAUAUUUGGUUUUCUGAAAACAUGUGGUUUUCUUAUCUCUGCAGUGGGGUAACAACCAACAAAUCAUCGCUGAUGGAGAUUCCCACAUCUCCAUCUCUGGUGGGAACUCUCAUAUCUCCAUCUCUGGUGUCUCACAAAGCAUAAGCAUCAAUAGCCAAACACAAAAGGCAAUUAUAGAGCAAAAGAGCAACCAUUUGUCCUGGAAAACCAUCUGGAACUACAACACGGUGAGUGGAAGGGAGGGGGCUUGUUCAAAAAGUAUACAAUGAGAUUGGCUGCUCAUACAGCUGGCCCAGUGGCUGGGAUUGUGGCUUUAUCUUAAAUUUUUGAGACCAUAAUAUUGGGUAGAAACUCUUGGCAUUUAUUAUUGUUUGAAUCCAAACUUUAUUCCAGUGUUCACAGUUGGAAAAAACUGAAUUGUGAAUGCUAAAUAAUUUUAUUUUACAGGGUGUCAUUGCAACAAAAGUGAUGCCAGAGAGAACAUGCUACAUUUCCACCAUGAACAGGAGUGAAAUGCCUACCUUUGCUGCACUUGUCAGAGUGGCUGCAGAGAGGAGGAACCUUUUCGGUUUUGGAAGACCGACCAAGGAGAUCACCUUUGUCACCAAUGGAUUGGUCAGCAACCUCCAGUCUUAUGGAUCAGAUGUCUUCUCUCUGUGCAGUGGACUCACCACCUACAUGGCUUAUGAGGUUCAUGUACCCCAAUACAAUGAACAACCAUGCAUUGCACUUAACGUCUUGAGACUUGUGGAGCUGAGGUACUGCAGUGGCAAUGGACAGGUCAGAAACCCUUACCUUUCUUGAACCGAGAUCCAGCCUUCGGAGCUGCUGCCCAAAGCCAACCCUGAUACCGUCCUUCCCUGAUAUCUCUUCUUUCAAGAGUUUUGUUCUUCAUGGUUCAGAACCUGAAACAGAUCAUGUGUUGACUAGAGCUUUCAAUUAAAAAUCUUUUGCAUAGAUGACCUCUGGCUUGUUUCUCAUUACUCUAUCCUUCAAUCAUCUUUGAAAUUUCCAUGGAAAUAUUUUUAUUGUCUCCCUUCUGCCCCAUUUGAGCCCUUCAAAUGCUCUUUUCAUUGCCAGCUCUCAAAACAGGGCACAGACAAAGAGCUGGGCAAGCCCCAGGGUAUGUAUAGUACAAAUAAGGCAUUCACAGUUAGGACCUUCCUUCCCAGUUUGGGGAAAGAUGCCUCACAUUAAGAAUCUUGAUUCAGGUGGCACAAAAGGCAGAAAGAAAGAAGGGCAAAGCACUGAAUUUGCCUUCUUUAGGGCAAGGGCAGUCUCUGUGGAAUUUAUCAUGUUGUUCUUACAGAGCCCUCCAUUUUCCAGUGCAUAGCAAAGACUGGCUACAGGGCAUCACGUUGAACACUGACGUGGAUGAAAAUGUGCUCCAAAGAUGCAGGCACAGUAUAAACACAACUGUUGAUCCCUGAGGACAGUGCAAGAUUCCCACUCAUCUCCUCCUCCCCCCAAAUGUCUUUCUUUCAGACAUGGACAUGCAAAAAAAAAAAAAAAAAAAAAAAAAAAAAAUCUGUCUUACUGUAACGGUACCAACAAAAUAAAAUAUUUUUUCCAUUUUUGCUGCCAGGAACAUGUCUC